GCUAUCCCGUGUUAGCAAAUGAAAACCCCUUUGCCUCUGAGUGUAGAAGUGGUGUCAAUCUAGAGCCUUCCCCUCCAAAUGAAGCAUUACAAUGCGAACCUUAACACUAUCAGCUACUCUCACAGCCUCAAAGUACUACUUGAGUUUUGACCACCAACCUCGAUAGUUUGUGCCAUCAAAUUUGGGGCAAUCAAGUUUAUGUGGAUGAAUUUGACUCUCCAAGCAUCCACCACGGGUAGGAGUUUCUAAACUUCCAAAUUCUACCAUUGGUCAAACCAUUUGAGUAUCUUUGAU
This 294-nucleotide long non-coding RNA is filed under the name Gossypium raimondii (Peruvian cotton). RNAcentral's name for it is "long non-coding RNA (GRAI_LNC004704)". The record is from RNAcentral. Lineage: Eukaryota; Viridiplantae; Streptophyta; Magnoliopsida; Malvales; Malvaceae.